UUCUGUUAUUGUCUAAUCCAUUCAUCCUCACUUGCCAAUUUUUUAAGCCUGUCCACAUCUACAUUUUGUCUUUCUUCCCUUCUUGUCUGUACAGGGAAGCAAUUUGGUGACUUUGCUGCCAGGUCAGUAGUGUCACUGGGAAAUGCUGUUUGCACUGCCACCUCUGGAAGUAAGGGUGGAAGACCUGAAAAGGGCUGCUUUUACACAACAGUUUUGAAGAACACCUCUGUGCAAGACAGCAUUCCAGCACUGCCUGUGUUCCCGUGGAUAGGGAUCCAUGGCUCAAGGCCUGAUUUUGCAAAGUCAGGCUGUUUGGAGAGGUUGUCUGUGAUGAGUGAUUUCCAGAAACACUGACGUGAUGGAGUCAUGGAACAAUCAAUGAAGGUUAACUGUCCAGAGGGUUUGGAAUCAUGGAGUCAGAUGGAAUCAAUGGAAACACCUGAAAUGGAUAACAGCUGAGAAGUGGGCGCAACCUGGGAUGCUACACAGAGGAUGGAAGUCAAAGACUGCUUUAAAGGUAAACAAUACUUUGUUGUUUGCAUUAUAAAAGAUAGAAAAUAAAAAAAAAAAUCAUCAGUAACA
RNAcentral lists this long non-coding RNA (582 nucleotides) under Cyanistes caeruleus (blue tit). RNAcentral's name for it is "lncRNA (ENSCCEG00000009626.1)". The record is from RNAcentral. Lineage: Eukaryota; Metazoa; Chordata; Aves; Passeriformes; Paridae.